Molecule: ribosomal RNA, 266 nt
Filed under: uncultured bacterium
Lineage: Bacteria
Description: partial 16S ribosomal RNA
Rfam family: Bacterial small subunit ribosomal RNA
Source: RNAcentral
GUCCACGCUGUAAACGAUGAACACUAGAUAUUGGAGGAUUUGACCCCUUCAGUGUCGUAGCUAACGCGUUAAGUGUUCCGCCUGGGAAGUACGGUCGCAAGACUAAAACUCAAAGGAAUUGACGGGGGCCCGCACAAGCGGUGGAUUAUGUGGUUUAAUUCGAAGCAACGCGCAGAACCUUACCUAGGCUUGAAAUCCCACGAACCUGGCUUAAACGCUGGGGUGCUCUUCGGAGAAUGUGGUGACAGGCGCUGCAUGGCUGUCGU